Long non-coding RNA from Carya illinoinensis, 817 nucleotides. RefSeq lists it as uncharacterized. The record is from RefSeq and is a predicted model, not a curated record. NCBI's taxonomy places the organism in Eukaryota, Viridiplantae, Streptophyta, Magnoliopsida, Fagales, Juglandaceae. The transcript has 2 exons.
UCGCACCGAAACCCCCUAGAUCUCUCCUUCACCUCAUCUCUCUCUCACCCCUCGAUCCCUCCCUGACUCCCUGAUCACCCUCGUCUCUCUCUCACCCUCUUGAAAAAUCCUAGAUCCCUCCCUCACCCUUAUCUCUCUCUCUCACCCCCUUGAAAGUUGAGAGAGAGAGAGAGAGAGAGAGAGAGAGAGAGAGAUUGAAACUUAGGGAGAGAGUGAGUUUUUCAUGAUGUUUCCAUGCUCGAAAGCUUCACGUGUACCGGUUUGGUGUUAGGUGAUGGUGUUUGGGCAUGGCUGGGGUUCCGCAUCAUCAAUGGGGUUGAACGUGGGGUAGCAAUUGUAAUGAAAGGGAGUGAAGGUGGAGGUUUGAGGAGAUGCAAUGGUUUGCUACUAGUCCGAGUAAUAGGGGCAAAUUGAAGGGUGUAUGUGGUCGUGCGUGGUCUAGGGGAAAGAAAUCGUGAAGGCUGAACGGCUUGGGAGGAAUUGCCAUGCAUGGUGGGGUCCCUUGGAGGGCUUGCUGGUGAUUUCCUACAAGGUUGUUCAAGGCUUUGACAAUGGCAGAUUGGGUUGGAAUGGAGGGGAGGUCGCAGUACAAUACAACAUAGUCUGCUCGUGGGGGUGGUGUCGGACUACGUGGUGGUUACGUGUUAAUACUGAUUAUAUGUUUUUUUUAUAUAUGACAUGAGGGAUUUGAAUCUAAUUCUCCUGUUUAGAUAUUAGACCUUAUGUCAUCUACAGCAAAUGACCUUGGCAAUACUGAUUAUAUGUUUAGUAUCUUGAAAUAUAUUUAUAACAAUGUUGCAUCAUUUAUAUAGCAAAA